This is a long non-coding RNA of Leptopilina heterotoma, 278 nucleotides long. RefSeq lists it as uncharacterized. The record is from RefSeq and is a predicted model, not a curated record. NCBI's taxonomy places the organism in Eukaryota, Metazoa, Arthropoda, Insecta, Hymenoptera, Figitidae. The transcript has 3 exons.
CAAAAGUUUGGUUUUAAAGAAGACAAUCGAUCUGAGCAGUUAUAAGAAAAGAUGAAAUUUUAUACUAUUUUGCUUUUGGGAGUUACACUUUUUAUCGUGACCGUCAAUGGCCAGAGAUGUGCAUGGGAAAAUGACCAGUGUAAUCGCAGACAUUGUUGUCCUGGCCUUCGGUGUGAACGUGGAGGAUGCCGUUUCAUCUAAUAAAUAUGGUCAAAAUUUCAAUUCCAAAUAACAAUACUUGAUACAAAUUAAAAUUAUAUCAAUCUUUUCUAUUUCAA